RNAcentral lists this ribosomal RNA (274 nucleotides) under uncultured bacterium. Its description in RNAcentral is "partial 16S ribosomal RNA". It matches the Rfam family "Archaeal small subunit ribosomal RNA", at positions 473 to 747 of the family's 1478-position model. The record is from RNAcentral.
AAACCAGCACCUCAAGUGGUCAGGAUGAUUAUUGGGCCUAAAGCAUCCGUAGCCUGCUCUGUAAGUUUUCGGUUAAAUCUGUACGCUCAACGUACAGGCUGCCGGGAAUACUGCAGAGCUAGGGAGUGGGAGAGGUAGACGGUACUCGGGAGGAAGUGGUAAAAUGCUUUGAUCUCUCGAUGACUACCUGCGGCGAAGGCGGUCUACCAGAACACGUCCGACGGUGAGGGAUGAAAGCUGGGGGAGCAAACCGGAUUAGAAACCCGUGUAGUCC